CUAAGGCCGAUGGCGACCGGCGCACGAGUGAGUAACACGUAUCCAACCUGCCGAUGACUCGGGGAUAGCCUUUCGAAAGAAAGAUUAAUACCCGAUGGCAUAGUUCUUCCGCAUGGUAGAACUAUUAAAGAAUUUCGGUCAUCGAUGGGGUCGCGGCCCAUUAGGUAGUAGGCGGGGUAACGGCCCACCUAGCCCGCGAUGGGUAGCCGGGUUGAGAGACCGACCGGCCACAUUGGGACUGAGAUACGGCCCAGACUCCUACGGGAGGCAGCAUG
This 275-nucleotide ribosomal RNA is filed under the name uncultured bacterium. Its description in RNAcentral is "partial 16S ribosomal RNA". It matches the Rfam family "Bacterial small subunit ribosomal RNA", at positions 79 to 353 of the family's 1533-position model. The record is from RNAcentral.